This 253-nucleotide ribosomal RNA is filed under the name uncultured bacterium. RNAcentral describes it as "partial 16S ribosomal RNA". It matches the Rfam family "Bacterial small subunit ribosomal RNA", at positions 524 to 776 of the family's 1533-position model. The record is from RNAcentral.
UACAGAGGUCUCAAGCGUUGUUCGGAUUCAUUGGGCGUAAAGGGUGUGUAGGUGGCGCCGUAAGUCGGGUGUGAAAUUUCGGAGCUUAACUCCGAAACUGCAUUCGAUACUGCGGUGCUUGAGGACUGGAGAGGAGACUGGAAUUCAUGGUGUAGCAGUGAAAUGCGUAGAGAUCCGGAAGAACACCGGUGGCGAAGGCGGCCUGCUGGGCAGUUGCUGACACUGAGGCGCGACAGCGUGGGGAGCAAACAGG